AACGAACGCUGGCGGCGCGCCUAAUACAUGCAAGUCGAGCGAGAAGGUGUAGCAAUACACUUGUAAAGCGGCGAACGGGUGAGGAAUACAUGGGUAACCUACCCUCGAGUGGGGAAUAACUAGCCGAAAGGUUAGCUAAUACCGCAUACGAUUCCAGGACUUCGGUCCUGGAAGGAAAGCACUACCGUGGGUAGUGCGCUCCUGGAUGGGCUCAUGUCCUAUCAGCUUGUUGGUGAGGUAAAGGCUCACCAAGGCUUCGACGGGUAGCUGGUCUGAGAGGACGAUCAGCCACACUGGCACUGCGACACGGGCCAGACUCCUACGGGAGGCAGCAGUAAGGAAUAUUGCGCAAUGGGCGAAAGCCUGACGCAGCGACGCCGCGUGGGGGAUGAAGGUCUUCGGAUUGUAAACCCCUUUCGGGAGGGAGAGGGAAUGGGUAACCCAUUCGGACGGUACCUCCAGAAGCAGCCACGGCUAACUUCGUGCCAGCCGCCGCCGU
Molecule: ribosomal RNA, 499 nt
Filed under: uncultured bacterium
Lineage: Bacteria
Description: bacterial SSU rRNA
Rfam family: Bacterial small subunit ribosomal RNA
Source: RNAcentral